AUUGAACGCUGGCGGCAGGCCUAACACAUGCCAGUCGAGCGGAUGAAGGGAGCUUGCUCCUGGAUUCAGCGGCGGACGGGUGAGUAAUGCCUAGGAAUCUGCCUGGUAGUGGGGGAUAACGUCCGGAAACGGGCGCUAAUACCGCAUACGUCCUGAGGGAGAAAGUGGGGGAUCUUCGGACCUCACGCUAUCAGAUGAGCCUAGGUCGGAUUAGCUAGUUGGUUGGGUAAAGGCCUACCAAGGCGACGAUCCGUAACUGGUCUGAGAGGAUGAUCAGUCACACUGGAACUGAGACACGGUCCAGACUCCUACGGGAGGCAGCAGUGGGGAAUAUUGGACAAUGGGCGAAAGCCUGAUCCAGCCAUGCCGCGUGUGUGAAGAAGGUCUUCGGAUUGUAAAGCACUUUAAGUUGGGAGGAAGGGCAGUAAGUUAAUACCUUGCUGUUUUGACGUUACCAACAGAAUAAGCACCGGCUAACUUCGUG
Molecule: ribosomal RNA, 484 nt
Filed under: uncultured bacterium
Lineage: Bacteria
Description: partial 16S ribosomal RNA
Rfam family: Bacterial small subunit ribosomal RNA
Source: RNAcentral